Molecule: ribosomal RNA, 409 nt
Filed under: uncultured microorganism
Description: bacterial SSU rRNA
Rfam family: Bacterial small subunit ribosomal RNA
Source: RNAcentral
GAGUUUGAUCCUGGCUCAGAUUGAACGCUGGCGGCAUGCCUUACACAUGCAAGUCGAACGGUUAACAGGUCUUCGGAUGCUGACGAGUGGCGAACGGGUGAGUAAUACAUCGGAACGUGCCCGAUCGUGGGGGAUAACGGAGCGAAAGCUUUGCUAAUACCGCAUACGAUCUACGGAUGAAAGCAGGGGACCGCAAGGCCUUGCGCGGACGGAGCGGCCGAUGGCAGGAUUAGGUAGUUGGUGGGAUAAAAGCUUACCAAGCCGACGAUCUGUAGCUGGUCUGAGAGGACGACCAGCCACACUGGGACUGAGACACGGCCCAGACUCCUACGGGAGGCAGCAGUGGGGAAUUUGGACAAUGGGCGAAAGCCUGAUCCAGCCAUGCCGCGUGCAGGAUGUAAGGCCUCGG